AUUGAACGCUGGCGGCAGGCCUAACACAUGCAAGUCGAGCGGAUGAAGGGAGCUUGCUCCUGGAUUCAGCGGCGGACGGGUGAGUAAUGCCUAGGAAUCUGCCUGGUAGUGGGGGAUAACGUCCGGAAACGGGCGCUAAUACCGCAUACGUCCUGAGGGAGAAAGUGGGGGAUCUUCGGACCUUACGCUAUCAGAUGAGCCUAGGUCGGAUUAGCUAGUUGGUGGGGUAAAGGCCUACCAAGGCGACGAUCCGUAACUGGUCUGAGAGGAUGAUCAGUCACACUGGAAGUGGGACACGGUCCUGAGUCCUACGGGAGGCAGCAGUGGGGAAUAUUGGACAAUGGGCGAAAGCCUGAUCCAGCCAGGCCGCGUGUGUGAAGAAGGUCUUCGGAUUGUAAAGCACUUUAAGUUGUGAGGAAGGGCAGUAAGUUAAUACCUUGCUGUUUUGACGUUACCAACAGAAUAAGCACCGGCUAACUUCGUG
Molecule: ribosomal RNA, 484 nt
Filed under: uncultured bacterium
Lineage: Bacteria
Description: partial 16S ribosomal RNA
Rfam family: Bacterial small subunit ribosomal RNA
Source: RNAcentral